UAGAAGGCAGCAGUGGGGAAUAUUGCACAAUGGGCGAAAGCCUGAUGCAGCUAUGCCGCGUGUAUGAAGAAGGCCUUAGGGUUGUAAAGUACUUUCAUCGGGGAGGAAAAACAAAACUAAUAAUUUUAUUUCUUGACGUUACCCGAAAAAGAAGCACCGGCUAACUCCGUGCCAGCAGCCGCGGUAAUACGGAGGGUGCUAGCGUUAAUCAGAAUUACUGGGCGUAAAGAGCACGUAGGUGGUUUUUUUAAGUCAGAUGUGAAAUCCCUGGGCUUAACCUGGAACUGCAUUUUGAAACUGAAAUACUAGAGUAUCGUAGAGGGAGGUAGAAUUCUAGGUGUAGCGGUGAAAUGCGUAGAUAUCUGGAGGAAUACCUGUGGCGAAAGCGGCCUCCUAAACGAAUACUGACACUGAGGUGCGAAAGCGUGGGGAGCAAACAGGGAUUAGAUACC
RNAcentral lists this ribosomal RNA (452 nucleotides) under uncultured bacterium. Its description in RNAcentral is "bacterial SSU rRNA". It matches the Rfam family "Bacterial small subunit ribosomal RNA", at positions 342 to 786 of the family's 1533-position model. The record is from RNAcentral.